AAGAGAAAUAUUUGAUCAAAAUAAGGGGAAAGGUUUUUAAGCGAAAAUAGAUGUAAAAUUUUAAAUAGGGGUUUAGUUUAAAAAGUUGCAUUGUGGGUUUUCAGUGUUUAAAAUUAAGGAAGUUAUUGGGGGUAACUUUAGUUAAUUUAAACUUGUAGGGGUAAAAUGAUGUGCCAGCAUUCGCGGUUAUACAUCAUCCUAAAAUCUUUAUUUUUAAAUUAGGAAAAUACUAUAUAAAAUUAAUUUGAAUUAUUCUAAUGGGGGUGGAAUAUAUUAGAAUUGAUUUAUAUGAACGUUUUCUAAAAUUUUGGGUUUAAACUAGGAUUAGAUACCCUAUUAUUUAAAUUUAAAUAUGGUUUUUUUAGGAAUUUGAUUAUACAAAAAAUUAAAUUGAUUUGGCGGUUUUUUAAACUUUUUAGAGGAACCUGUUUGUUAAAUUGAUAAACCACGAUUUUAAAUAUCUAGAUUUUCUUGUAUAUCUCUAUAAUGAGUAUUCUUUAAGGUUAAUUUUCUAUAUUUUUAAAAAAAAUUAAUUUAGGUCAAGGUGCAGUUAUAUUUAGAUUUAAAUGGGUUACAAAAAUUAAGGUUUGUGGGGGCAUAUCUUAAAAAUUGUAAUUAAAUUGGAUUUAAAAGUAAAAUAAAUUGUUAAUUUGUUUGAAUUAUGCUCUAAAUUAUGUACAUAUCGCCCGUCAUUCUCAUUUAAUGAGACAAGUCGUAACAAAGUAGAUGUAUUGGAAAAUGUAUCUAGCAG
This 751-nucleotide non-coding RNA is filed under the name Nilaparvata lugens (brown planthopper). The record is from RNAcentral. Lineage: Eukaryota; Metazoa; Arthropoda; Insecta; Hemiptera; Delphacidae.